Molecule: ribosomal RNA, 424 nt
Filed under: uncultured bacterium
Lineage: Bacteria
Description: bacterial SSU rRNA
Rfam family: Bacterial small subunit ribosomal RNA
Source: RNAcentral
UGAGGAAUAUUGGUCAAUGGGCGCAAGCCUGAACCAGCCAUCCCGCGUGCAGGAAGACGGCGCUAUGCGUCGUAAACUGCUUUUCCAGGGAGAGAAACUUGCGCACGUGUUGCGCAAUUGACGGUACCCUGGGAAUAAGCAUCGGCUAACUCCGUGCCAGCAGCCGCGGUAAUACGGAGGAUGCGAGCGUUAUCCGGAUUCAUUGGGUUUAAAGGGUGCGUAGGCGGACUAUUAAGUCAGUGGUGAAAUCCUGCAGCUCAACUGCAGAACUGCCAUUGAUGCUGAUAGCCUUGAGUUUGGUUAAGGUAGGCGGAAUGUGUAAUGUAGCGGUGAAAUGCUUAGAUAUUACACAGAACACCAAUUGCGUAGGCAGCUUACUGAGCCGACACUGACGCUGAGGCACGAAAGCGUGGGGAUCGAACAG